RNAcentral lists this transfer RNA (74 nucleotides) under Candidatus Yonathbacteria bacterium RBG_16_43_6. Its description in RNAcentral is "tRNA-His". It matches the Rfam family "tRNA". From Rfam's summary of the family: Transfer RNA (tRNA) molecules are approximately 80 nucleotides in length. The record is from RNAcentral. Lineage: Bacteria; Candidatus Yonathiibacteriota.
GUGGCUGUAGCUCAGGGGUAGAGCGCUGCUCUGUGGAAGCAGAUGUCGGGGGUUCGAAUCCCCUCAGUCACCCA